GAUGAACGCUGGCGGCGUGCCUAAUACAUGCAAGUCGAGCGAACAGACGAGGAGCUUGCUCCUCUGACGUUAGCGGCGGACGGGUGAGUAACACGUGGAUAACCUACCUAUAAGACUGGGAUAACUUCGGGAAACCGGAGCUAAUACCGGAUAAUAUAUUGAACCGCAUGGUUCAAUAGUGAAAGACGGUUUUGCUGUCACUUAUAGAUGGAUCCGCGCCGCAUUAGCUAGUCGGUAAGGUAACGGCUUACCAAGGCAACGAUGCGUAGCCGACCUGAGAGGGUGAUCGGCCACACUGGAACUGAGACACGGUCCAGACUCCUACGGGAGGCAGCAGUAGGGAAUCUUCCGCAAAGGGCGAAAGCCUGACGGAGCAACGCCGCGUGAGUGAUGAAGGUCUUCGGAUCGUAAAACUCUGUUAUUAGGGAAGAACAAAUGUGUAAGUAACUAUGCACGUCUUGACGGUACCUAAUCAGAAAGCCACGGCUAACUACGUG
Molecule: ribosomal RNA, 497 nt
Filed under: uncultured bacterium
Lineage: Bacteria
Description: partial 16S ribosomal RNA
Rfam family: Bacterial small subunit ribosomal RNA
Source: RNAcentral